Heterocephalus glaber (naked mole-rat) is the source of this 1708-nucleotide long non-coding RNA. RefSeq lists it as uncharacterized. The record is from RefSeq and is a predicted model, not a curated record. Lineage: Eukaryota; Metazoa; Chordata; Mammalia; Rodentia; Bathyergidae.
UGCUUCUCCAAGCCUUCAUGGAAGGCGAUUUCUUUCCAGCGCAUCUCCAGAGAUGGCUAGGCCCUGCUCUCCCUGGACACCCUGCUCUGUCCCAUCCUGAGGACAGUGCCUAGAGCAGACUGGCCCAUGUCGUGUCCUUUCCCAAAGUCCAGAGGCAAGGAGACAGGCACUGACAGACAUUUGAGCCAGAUAAAUAGGAGAGGCCCAGGGUUCUACUGGCUACACAAAGAGCAGACAGAGUUCAGAGAGGGAGUGCACAUCUAUGACCAGGAGUCCAGGAAAGAGUAAUGGAAGAAGAGAUAUCAGAGCUCAACUCAGUCCUUAAGGCUCCCAGGAUCCUAUUCCCCUGGAAGGACUUCCAGAAAGUCACUACCCCUGACAAGACUCAGAUCGGCUCCUGGACACGAAUGACAGGGGUUUGUGACACCUCAGAAAUCGAGUACAAGCCUGUGUGUGCAUAGGUGUGCAUGAGCACACAGGGACUUUUCUAAGGAGUGGCCUCCAGCUCUCAUCAAGGAGGGAUGUGCCCCAAAAGGUUGGAAGCUCCCAUUCAUUCAUGUCCCUCAGCCCUCCCACUGUGGACAGCCCCCUGAACUCCAGGUCCCGUGGAGUCAGGAGAACUAGGGAGGGAAAUGUGAUCCCUCCUCACCCCCACCCCAAGCUGCCUGACCCUGCUGCACUGCCAGGUGCCUGAGAGUCCAUCUGCAAACAGCGCAGUCACCUACACCUUGCAAAGCAGAAUGGGCACUGACGGGAGUUCAGAGAGAGGUCUACUUCUCCCCGGAGUGGUUAAAGAAGUGGGGAGCCUAAAGUCUUCCAGUUGACCCUUGCAAUGCCAUUCUCUUUUGGAGGUGAGUCCUUCUUCCCCAAGCCCCUCCUGGAUCAGUGAGGACCAUCUAGAUUUUUGGACAGAAGACUGAGGAAGGGGCUUGAGGCUGAGGAGGCCUUCACUAUACUCUCCCCCUGGCCUCUGCAGAGCCCACACCUGGCAGUUCCUGUGUGUGAAUCCCAAGCAAUCCACACGUUCAGGUUUGAUUUGCCCUGUGGAGAAGCUUGGAGACCCCAGAGUGGAGGCAGUGAUGCCAAUGUCUACUUGAGUCAAGGAAGAUGGCAGCCAAAGAUUUCCAGCCACGAGCAAUGCUUCCUCCAAGAUGACCAGGCUGGGCUUUAUCCCGAGCUCCGUUCAAACCACACAGACAGCAAGCAGGGGUGCGGAGAUGCAGUCCGCUGAGCUGGCCCUGGGGCCAGGCACCCUUCUGGAGGAGUCGGACAAGCCCCACAGUGAAGAAACUACCAGCCAGGGCUCUAGUCCCUGGGACCGAUCCCCACCCGUGCUGUCCGGUCCAUUUUGGCUUACUUUGCAGACAUGGUCACAGACGUACUAAGCCUUUCAAGGUGGCUUGGUAAGAAGAGUAGGCUUGGAUUGUACGGAAUCAGAGUGAGGGGUGGUGGCCCAGGUGAAAGGCUGGCUCCCAAAAAGAUGGGAAGUUUGAGUCUGUUUUCCACUGCCAAGAGUUUUGGAAACCUUGGGUUCAUCUAAGCCAGCACCCUGGAGAGAUGCCAGCACAGAGACCCUGGACCUUACAGGGGGUCCAGGACCUUACAGGACCCGACCCUGCAGGAGCCAGAGCCUUUCCCUGGGGUCCAAAAGAAGCUGAGGGAGAGGCACGGGUCCCUCAUCUGUGCCUGCGCCUGCGCACGUCAUUCU